Molecule: non-coding RNA, 46 nt
Filed under: Schistosoma curassoni
Lineage: Eukaryota; Metazoa; Platyhelminthes; Trematoda; Strigeidida; Schistosomatidae
Source: RNAcentral
AUACAGCUGAAGAAUCCCAAAUAAAACAAAAACGCGCGUCCUGUAU